This 434-nucleotide ribosomal RNA is filed under the name uncultured bacterium. RNAcentral describes it as "partial 16S ribosomal RNA". It matches the Rfam family "Bacterial small subunit ribosomal RNA", at positions 29 to 507 of the family's 1533-position model. The record is from RNAcentral.
AGCGAACACUGGCGGCAGGCCUAACACAUGCAAGUCGAACGAACCUUUCGGGGUUAGUGGCGGACGGGUGAGUAACACGUGGGAACGUGCCUUUAGGUUCGGAAUAACUCAGGGAAACUUGUGCUAAUACCGAAUGUGCCCUUCGGGGGAAAGAUUUAUCGCCUUUAGAGCGGCCCGCGUCUGAUUAGCUAGUUGGUUGAGGUAAUGGCUCACCAAGGCGACGAUCAGUAGCUGGUCUGAGAGGAUGAUCAGCCACAUUGGGACUGAGACACGGCCCAAACUCCUACGGGAGGCAGCAGUGGGGAAUCUUGCGCAAUGGGCGAAAGCCUGACGCAGCCAUGCCGCGUGAAUGAUGAAGGUCUUAGGAUUGUAAAAUUCUUUCACCGGGGACGAUAAUGACGGUACCCGGAGAAGAAGCCCCGGCUAACUUCGUG